Molecule: ribosomal RNA, 426 nt
Filed under: uncultured bacterium
Lineage: Bacteria
Description: bacterial SSU rRNA
Rfam family: Bacterial small subunit ribosomal RNA
Source: RNAcentral
UAAGGAAUAUUGGACAAUGGGCGGAAGCCUGAUCCAGCCAUGCCGCGUGAAGGAUGAAGGCGCUCAGCGUUGUAAACUUCUUUUGGACGGGAACAAUAACCCCGACGUGAUCGGGGCUUGAGGGUACCGUCAGAAUAAGCACCGGCUAACUCCGUGCCAGCAGCCGCGGUAAUACGGAGGGUGCAAGCGUUAUCCGGAAUCACUGGGUUUAAAGGGUGCGUAGGCGGUCUGAUAAGUCAGUCGUGAAAUCGCUGGGCUUAACCUAUGCAACUGCGAUUGAUACUGUUAGACUUGAAUGGGGUUGAGGCAGGCGGAAUGUGGCAUGUAGCGGUGAAAUGCUUAGAUAUGCCAUAGAACACCAAUUGCGAAGGCAGCCUGCUGGGCCUUGAUUGACGCUGAGGCACGAAAGCGUGGGGAGCAAACAGG